Molecule: RNA transcript, 3056 nt
Organism: Beta vulgaris subsp. vulgaris (sugar beet)
Lineage: Eukaryota; Viridiplantae; Streptophyta; Magnoliopsida; Caryophyllales; Amaranthaceae
Exons: 5
Source: RefSeq, a predicted model, not a curated record
GCAUACGAUUAUGAACUAUAAUGCACCUAAAUGCUCCUAGAAUGUAACCUAAAUGCAACUAAAAUCUAUAUAAAAAUACAACACAUCAAACUCAUUCAAGCUAAACCAUUGCUUGUCCUCAAGCAAUUAGACAUAAGACAACCUAUACUAUGGGAUUACGAUAGGACCAAGCACAUAAUUAAGAACACGAGAGAUACAAUUACUACACGAACCAAGCAUCGAAACAUUCUCAAACAAAGCAGCAUAGCACGUCAUGUAAUGUAAUUGGAGAAUCAAUAUCAUCAAUACAAGCCAUUGGAGAAUCAAUAUCAUCAAUAUAAGCCAUUGGAGAAUUGCAUUGGAAAUCCUAUAACAUCAUACUCUAAAAAUCAAAAUACGGACGAAAGUCAUCCAUUGUUGUUUCACGUCUUCCACAUAAGCUGGAAAAAAAAUGAGCUCAACGAAAGUUUCUUUCUUUUGGGUGUUAAUGGGGGUUCGAAAAAAAGGAGGAAGAUGAAACAUGUAACAGUGGUUCUGGUGUUCUCGCUUUCAGAAUCUUGUGUCUGUCCUCGUACAAAAUGGGUAUUGAGAACUACCAUGUGCUUGAGCUUGAGCUUGUUGAUGAAGGUUCAUUGGAAGGGUCUAACAAUGGAAGGAGAAAUAUACUAGCCAAGUAAAUCUCCUCUUUCAUUUAAUUUUUCCAUUAAGGUAAUAAUUUUUGUUCCUCAUUAAAAAUGUUGGGUCUAUGGAAUUCAGAUUGUUGCUAUGAAGUUUAUUAUGAAAAAUGGGAAGAUUUUAGACAGGAGAUUGAGGUAAUCCCUGCUCUUUAAACAGGAGAUGUGUCUUGUCCCUUGUUUUUCUACUCUUUCCGACCAACUUCUUUUCUGUGACAUGCUCAUAUUGAGUCAUAGAGUUGAGCAGGAAAUUGAGUUCACUGCUACAAAGUAUAUGCUUUCACCUUGACAUGGCUUGAGAGAAGGAUACGUUGGUUUGUUAAAAUUUAAGUUGAGAUGGGGAGGACUGUUGGCUCGUAAACAAUUUUGUGCCAGUGGACUUCAUGAACAUCUUAUGUGCUUGUUGCGAGAUAGCUUUCUUGGUCAUUCCCAAUUAGAAGAUCGGGUACAGGAUCCACCGGGGAUGUCUCCUGUUGGAGACACUUGGAGUUACAUGGGCAGUUUCAUGUCUGAGUUAUUGCGUUUCAAGUGGAGCUGAAACUUUUUGACAGUUGAUGCUCGAUAAUACGUAUUUCAAGUGGAUUUGUAAUUUGGUAUCUGGUGCUCAUCUGAAGCUGCUUAAAUCUUGGGGUGGGCCUGGUGGGGGAAGUGGAUUGAGGGAUAAUAUCGCUGCAGUGAUUGAUUUUUUAGCUUUCCCUUUUGUUGCCAUUGAAAAUUCCCUUGGUUUUCCAUCAGCCACUGCAUCCAUGAAUAGUGAUUUCCUUCUAAAUGUCAGCUCACCUGGUGCAAACAUAUGUUGGGAGGACAGAGACAUUACAAAAGAAGUUAAAGAGGAAAUAAAAUCGGAGAGAGGGAGGACAAACAUUUGAGGUGCCUGCCGAUUGAAGAAUAACUUCGCUGAGGUGCAUUUGGCUCCAAGGUCAAGGGUGAAUGGUGCUAUGAUGUCUGGAUUGAUUUUACCAGGGUGAUAUUAAGGUGCAGCUGUGACCUGGGUGCUAAGGCUAGGCCUGCCUUGCGCUUUGGGCUCCAUAAACCCUGUGGCAUCAGUGCAACUUGUGCCUUCUGUGACUUUCAAACAUAUACUUGCAUGUCACUAGAACACUUGAACAAAAUAUGUCCGUGCUAUGCGCUGUUAGAGGCUCACAGCGAUUGAAUAUGUUUUGGCAGAACAUACUUGAAGUUGAGAAAUAUUUCUCUUUUUUAUUUUUAUUUUGUCUACCAUAAUGACUGCUUAUUUGUUUGAAAGUUUCAAAAUUACUUUCCGAUACAUAAAGAUAAGACCUCAUCAGCUAGUUAAAGUUCUGAGUCAUUGAAGUUGAGUCUGCAUCUGUCCUGUAGAGUAGUAUCUAACUGUUGCAGUUAGCUGGAGACGUUAUUGUUUCAUGAAUGUACUUCACAGGGUUUCUACGAGUACAUUGAGAGGGAAAAUAUACUGAUGCGGUUGAAGGAGUUUCUCACUUCUUAUGAUCCUUCUCUACGUGCAAAGGCUUGCAAUGCUGUAGGCAACAUGUGCUGGCACAGCUCUUACUUUUAUGAUUCAUUGGCAAGGCAUGGUCUCAUCAAUCUUCUCAUUGACCAAUGCACCGAUUCAGAUAAGCAUACAAAGAAAUUCGCCUGUGUUGCAGUAAGAUUUGUUAUGGAAGGCUAGUGAAGGGGAAACUCAAUCCGUGUCUAAGUAACAUAGGUGCACCAAGUAAUCUUGCUCGCCAUUCCAACAAGCUUUGUGACGCUAUUGUGUCUACUGGUGCUAUUCAGGUGCUACUUAAGGUCAUCUAUGAGUGCUCGAAGCUAUCCUCGAACUCUUCAAGAAUUAAUGAGUCUCCUUUAGAAAACGCGCUCUUUGCUUUGGCGAUGUGAACACGCAAAGGGGUAGAUGAGGGUGUGCAAGGAGCCCAACAUCACAGGGUCCCCAAAAUUAUAAAUUCCCCAAAAUAUAUUAUUUUGAAAAUUUUACUUCAUAUUUGAAGAAAUCACCCUUGUUUCCCACUCCUAAUAAAUUUGUCAAUGAUUUAUCUUUGGAUUUUCAACUUUCCAUCUUUAGAACUCUAACCUUCCAUUUUUAUUUUCUAUAAAUUAAGGGGUACAGUUUUCAUGUUAGAACCAGGGCCCCAAAAUCUUCAAGACGGCCAUGUGUGCACGCCAUCCACCACCUUGCAGGAAUAUCAUACGUUCGGCAGAGUUAUUCCAAGUGAUACCGCAGCUUCAGCAAUUUCCUGAAUCAAUUGUGGCCAAGUAUGUUCAUAUCAUAUAUAGUUCAGCUGGUGGAGCUUGAAACUUGCCAUUUACAUAGAACUAGUAGCUUCUUUUUUUGGGUAGCCUAUUAUAGGUCAAAUGUACAUCUAAUAUCAUUUGAGGUUUGGUGAGCUUUUAUGCAUAAUCACCAUAUCCUCCUACAUGGAAACA